GCCUGGUGUGAAGGUAGUGAGCUAUUUCAAAUGACUGUUCACCAUCAAUUACAGAUCAGACUUGUUGUUUUACUCUUUUCCUUUUCCCCUUAUUGAACUUCACUUGUCUUUA
Molecule: non-coding RNA, 112 nt
Filed under: Carlito syrichta (Philippine tarsier)
Lineage: Eukaryota; Metazoa; Chordata; Mammalia; Primates; Tarsiidae
Source: RNAcentral